This 2751-nucleotide small RNA is filed under the name Pongo abelii (Sumatran orangutan). RNAcentral's name for it is "retained intron". The record is from RNAcentral. Lineage: Eukaryota; Metazoa; Chordata; Mammalia; Primates; Hominidae.
AAAUACUUAGCCCAGGGCCUAUCACACAGUAACCAAUAUUAAGUAUUGGCUCUUAGUUACUAUGAUAUGCUCUGUCAAGCAUAAACUGACCUGGUCUACUUCUCUAGAUGGAAGCCAAAUAAAAGAUACUAUUGUCCAUAUUUCAGGAGAGUGGUUUCCUCAGGGGAGGCAGAGAAGGAAUGGAAUCAAGAGCAUUAUGUAGACAGGUUCAGUUAUAUCCAUAAUAUAAUUUUUAUUUGUCUAAGUGGCGGAUACAAAGGUAUUUGUUAGAGUAUUUUAUCUCUUUCUGGUGCCUAAAAUUUUUCAUUAAAAAAUGCUGUAGGGGUGGUUUGGUUUGUGCAGUGAAACCAACUAUGUUAUUCACAACCUUGCGAGAGAUGUAUCAACAGCUCUGGUUCAGAGAUGAAAAAGUGAGGCCCAGAAGGCUAUUCCAUCCAGCCUUCAAAGGAAGGGCUGAAGGCUCAGUGGUGACUGUGUACAUCAAAGUGGUUAGGCACUAUGCAGUGUAAGCGGUGGUCAUAUUACAUGGGACUAUGUUUGAAAUCAAUAAGAAUGGAAGGCAGAAUUACGUUGAACUCCAUUUAAAUAAAUGACUGGGGCAAAAUAUGGAAUCUGAAUUCUUUUGGGGUGGGGAAUGAGUAUCAAAGUGUAUAUUCCAAUAAAGUAUCUGUCCAAUGUGACACUUUUCAAGUGCCUAAGACCCUACGAGGCCACAGCCAUCGCUGCCUGUUCUACCUUAGCUUUGGCUCUGCCGUGCCUUGGCUUCCCUGGCUUUGCCGGUGGCCCGUCCACACUGGCAUGUGUCCAUGCAGGUCUAGAGAGGCCUCUUAUUUCUUUUUUAUGUGAGUCUCCAUUCUAAAUGUUGUCAUCUUAAUUUUCUACCACAUAUUGUUUUUUCUUGUUUGGAUAAUAUCACCGUUGCUACCAUAAACACCUUUCACUACAAUUCAUCUUCUGCUUUAUUACACGUUGAGUUGACAGAAUGCCUUCCAGACAUUCUUUUCUACUUACCCUAUGAGCUUUUGGUCAUGUUGUACCUGAGAACUGUUGCUAACUUGCGGAUUUGGGGCAGAUUACACUGACCAGAAUCCACAUUCACUUUUUAUUCUUACAUCCUAACAGGUCAGUGUAUAUUACUUUCAGUGACUAUGAGAGUGUACAGGGACUGCCUGCCUUUCGGUAUAAAGUUCCUGCAGAAAUAUUAGCCAAUACGUCAGACAAUGCUGGCUUCUGUAUACCUGAGGGAAACUGCCUGGGCUCAGGAGUUCUGAAUGUCAGCAUCUGCAAGAAUGGUAAGAACUCAGAGAGGGGACAUGAUAGGGGUGUCAAGAAUGCAGAAGGAUUGGAUUUCAAUGAAGAAUAUGUAGCUGGGCAUAGUGGCACACACCUACAGUCCCAGCUACUAAGGAUGCUGAGGUGGGAUGAUCACUUGAGCCCAGGAGUUCUCAAGUCCAUCCUGGGCAACAUAGCGAGACCCCAUCUCUAAAAAACAAAACAAACAAAAAAGAAUAUAUUGUCAGCCCAAUAGAAAGAUCAGUUUCUUUCAAGAAUAAUGUCUCAUAACAUGGCUAUUGAAUGGUAAAAAAAACAAUUAUUGGCUUUUCUAUGAUGCUUUUUAUUUCUAGAAUGCCAUGUUGUGUUUUUGUUUUCUGGACAGUGGUUUAGAAGUCUUAACAGUAAUAAUAGCUCAUGUUUACUAAGCACCUGAUGUAUGCCAGUUGCUGUCCUAAGUGCUUUACAUAUUUACAUGUAGUUAAUGCAUGCAAAACAUUAACUGAUUUCAUGUUCAAAACAAUGCUAAGGCUGGGCACGGUGGCUCAUGCUUGUAUUCCCAGCACUUUGAGAGGCCUAGGUGUGAGGAUUGCUUGAGGCCAGGGGUUCAAGAUCAGCCUGGGCAACAUAGCAAGACCCUGUCUCUACAAAAAAAAAAAAAGUAAAAAAUUAGCUGGGUGUGGCUAUACCUGUAGUCACAGCUGCUCAGGAGGCUGAGGCAGGGAGAUUGCUUGAGCCCAGGAGUUCGAGGUUGCAGUGUGCUAUGAUUGUGCUACUGCACUCCAGCCUGGGCAAAAGAGUGAUUCCGCACCUACCCGCCAAAAAAAAAAAAAAAAAAAAAAAAAAAAGCUAAAAGAAAAAGUGGACAACUCAGUUUUAAGAAAGUACGUAUCAUGGCAAAGAUUCUCAGUGAUUUGAAAGCCGAGUUAGUUUUAAACCCUGACACAAAUGUCCCAGUGUUUCUUAAUGUCAGAGCUACUCUGCUCCUUUCCAUGAAUGAGGCAGAAUUAUCAGUGGCACAACUGACAAAACUAUUUUCUUCAUCUUGAAGAGUAGUUUUAACAGCCACAUGUUGCAGAAUUAUUCACAGCGAACUUACUAGAUAGUAGACAUUCAGUGGCCUGUUUUUAUAAUUGGGGAAACUAGGGCUCAGAGAGGGAACAUGAUUUUGAUGCGACUCCUCCCUCUGAGCAGAUCCCUGGCGGAACUCAGGGUCUUCUCAUAUUUGCCCUGUGAUUCCCUCUUGGGCUAUAAUUCCUCUUUAAAAUUUCUCUGGAGAUCUCUCUGUGUAGUCCCUUUCUCCUGAAUAAAGUAAUGUGCUCACUUUUGCUCCCUUAUCUAACUCAUUUUAAAAUCUCCUUUCAGGCCUGGCAUGGUGGCGUGUGCCUGUAGGCCCAGCUACUCAGGAGGCUAUGGUGGGAGGGUCGCUUGAGCCCAGUUUGAUUCUAGCCUGGGCAACAUAGCGAGACUCCAUCUUUU